This is a long non-coding RNA of Anolis carolinensis (green anole), 4549 nucleotides long. Lineage: Eukaryota; Metazoa; Chordata; Lepidosauria; Squamata; Anolidae. The record is from Ensembl.
AUGGAAGGAAAAGCUGAUAAGGAGAAGACCUGGCUCUGGCUCACCAAUGGGACCCUGAAGGAGGAGACAGAAGGCCUGAUCCUUGCAGCCCAGGAGCAAGCCAUCAGAACAAAUGCAAUUAAGGCCAAGAGCGAAAAAUCAGCUGUUGACCCAAAAUGCAGACUGUGCAAGGAAACCGACGAAACCAUUGAUCAUAUCCUCAGCUGCUGUAAGAAAAUUGCACAGACAGACUACAAACAGAGGCACAACUAUGUGGCCCAAAUGAUUCAUUGGAACUUAUGCCUCAAGUACCACCUCCCAGCAGCAAAGAACUGGUGGGAUCACAAACCUGCAAAAGUAUUGGAGAAUGAGCACACAAAGAUACUGUGGGACUUCCGAAUCCAGACUGACAAAGUUCUGGAACACAACACACCAGACAUCACAGUUGUGGAAAAGAAAAAGGUUUGGAUCAUUGAUGUCGCCAUCCCAGGUGACAGUCGCAUUGACGAAAAACAACAGGAAAAACUCAGCCGCUAUCAGGACCUCAAGAUUGAACUUCAAAGACUCUGGCAGAAACCAGUGCAGGUGACAGUCGCAUUGACGAAAAACAACAGGAAAAACUCAGCCGCUAUCAGGACCUCAAGAUUGAACUUCAAAGACUCUGGCAGAAACCAGUGCAGGUGGUCCCGGUGGUGAUGGGCACAUUGGGUGCUGUGCCAAAAGAUCUCAGCCGGCAUUUGGAAACAAUAGACAUUGACAAAAUUACGAUCUGCCAGCUGCAAAAGGCCACCCUACUGGGAUCUGCACGCAUCAUCCGAAAAUACAUCACACAGUCCUAGACACUUGGGAAGUGUUCGACUUGUGAUUUUGUGAUAUGAAAUCCAGCAUAUCUAUCCUGUUUGCUGUGUCAUAAUAAUAAUAAUAAUAAUAAUAAUAAUAAUAAUAAUAAUAAUAAUAAUAACAACAACAACAACAUCAACAAAAACUCUGGCACAAGCCAGUCAAGGUGGUCCCAGUGGUAAUCGGCACACUGGGUGCAGUGCCUAAAGACCUUGGCCUGCACUUAAACACAAUUGGCGCUGACAAAGUUACCACCUGCCAGCUGCAGAAGGCCACCUUACUGAGAUCUGCAAGCAUUAUUUGCCGAUACAUCACACAGUCCUAGACACUUGGGAAGUGUCCGACGUGUGAUCCAAUACAACAGCCAGCAGAGUGUCUGCUGUGGACUCAUUUUGUUGUGUUUCAAAUAAUAAUAACAAUAAUAAUAAUGAAACUUUAUUUGUAAGAUGCAUCCUUAGUCUUAACUUUUUUCUCUUUAAAAAUGCUAAGAAGAGAAAAGAAACUGAUUACAGCAAAGCUCUAAAUAUAAUCAAGACAUUGUGUGAAAAAGAGCACCCAAAAUUAUGAUUGUGUUUGAAAGAGCUGACCUGAGGUUAACAUUCUUGGCUGUAUCCAAUCUAUUAUAGUCUUCCGCCUACAACCUGACAGCUCCUGAAGUCUCGGCUGCAGAUUGUUUAGUGAGGGUUAUUCCUUAAUUCUUCUCCCCGUUCUGUUAAUGGGAAGGACAGCAGCUGGGGCGAACAUUUGCCGUGGGCCGCACAUCCACUGCAUUAGGGAUCAGCGUUUAAGCACACCAUUUCAGCACUGAUGCAGAGCCCAUUUAGAUUUCAGCUGUGAACAUGUUUAAUCUUGUCCAAAACUGAGCCUCUUAGCUCUUCGUAAAAGCUGAGAACUGCGAGAAAUUAAGCUGGAGUGUGUCGCCUUUGCUGCAAAAGGUCACUGCCAGGAAAGAACACAGCCUUGUCCAUUUGCACCAAGAUAGAAGUUGAGAAAUAAUUUUCCAAAAUGAGUUGGUUGUAUAACUUGGGGUGAAGUUCUCCGUGCAGAACAACUUGUUUGACAUGGUCAUUAUACAGGAUGUUUCAAGGAGAUUUGAAAUCUAUACUGCUUUGAAAUUGGGGCUUUCAUUUUCAAACACUCUAAAAAAAAGUCAUGGUGUUUGUUAACAAUAUUAAUUACCCUUUUUUGUUAUUUUUGUUAUUGAUGGUGAUCCUCCUGGAAAAAGCCUAUCUAUAAAAGUGGGACAAAAGCUUAAAAUGACUGCCAAUCAUUUUUUGUCUUCCAGAAGUAAUGAGAAAAACUGACAAAUAAAUGUCACAUGUGUGUGUGUGUGUGGGGGGGGGGGGGGUCUCAAUAGUUGUAUCACUUUUCAAAAGUAACGUUGUUAUGCCCUAGCCAAAAUUUCACAUAUGAAAACCAGGACACAUGUCGCCAAGUGAUAUCAGAGUGUAGAAAAGAUACCAAAAUUAAUGUAUGAAUAUACAAGUGAGAAGAGGAUGCAGCAGUUUGCUUUUUCCUGCAUCUCCAGAGAAGGACAGGAUUUCAACCCUUGUUCUUCUCCUUGCUAAGUGAAUUAAGUGAAAACUUCUUUUGUACUUUGAACUCAGUUUGCACCAAUGGAAGAAAAUGGGAAGAUGAAACAGAAAUCAGGAUAUUUUAAAAGUAGCUCCAAAAGUGGGACAGCAAAAGAUAGGUACAGAGAACUUACUACAUUGGCACAGUUAAAGGGUAUGUUAUGCCUUCCAAUAAGUAACAUAGUAAUUGUAACAUUAUCUUAAUGCAUUAGUUCCAAGCUUCCUUGGUGGCACAAUGAGUUAAACCCUUAUGCUGGCAAGACUGCAGACUGACAGGUCAGCUAUUUGAAUCCGGGGAGAGUAGAUGAGCUCCCUCUGUCAGCUCCAGCUCCCCAUGUGGGGACAAGGAUGGUAAAACAUCUGGGUGUCACCUGGGCAAUAUCCUUGGAGACAGCCAAUUAUCUCACACCAAAUGACUUGCAGUUUCUCAAGUCACUCCUAACACAAAAAAAGUUCCAAGCUCCAAUGCAAUAUACAUUCUAUAGUAUUGCAGUUAAAUCUGAAUAAAUAGAAUAGCUUUAUUGUCAUUGUACUAUUGCACAACAGGUAAAAUCAGCUGUUGUGUGUGUUCAGUAUCCCUUGGUCUCUAACUUUAGCACCUUUUCAUGCAUAAAUAGGGCAAUCUUUCAACUUGUAAGAAAAAUGGUUCAGAAAAAAACCAUCCAUAGACAUUGAGCAGCUGCCCGGCAUGCCCGCCAUGGCUAACCCACACCAAAAGGAUUCCUCAGAGAGUCAGAGUUUGACUGCAGAAACUCUGUGCAACACUAAUGUCUAAAUUUGCUCCUAGUUCUGGUGCAAUGCUGUGUAAAUUUGAUUACAUUGGAUGACAACCAACCAUUUCACCACCCAGACAAGGGCAAAGUACAGCUAAAUCAACGUCAGCACCUUCAUAUGAAUGUUGGCUUUGGCAAGCUGAGAAAAGAGUUUCUUCCUGUACAUAACGACUCACAUUGAUGAAAGCUUGUAAAAGAAAAGGGAAUUUAAGUUCACAGAGUUAGCAUUGUAGAAAGUAUAUAACAAGCCAGUUCUAUACAAAGCUGAUGUUUUCUACAUUUGUAAGACAAUAAUAUACAACAUAGAGAUAACCGUCAAUAAAGAACAAAUUACUCAUGAUUUAUUCUUUUUCCUAAUAAUUGAGGUAUUAUCUACAUUUCAUUAAGCUGGCAACUUCAUGAAGGUAAGCCAUAGGACUGUAACAUUUAGUUACUUUACAGUUUUUAGCAUGUACCUUUAAUACAUGUACAUUUAUUAAAGAAAAGCUCCAUUUCCAUCUAGGCAUGUAUAGCUUUGCUAUAUUAUAUAUUGUAUCGUAUUGUACUGCCAACUAUGUAUUCAUCACAAACACUUUCUUCAAGCAAAAAACAGGCAAUUCUAUAAAUGAACAUCACUUGAUGGCCAAGAUAAAAAUCAAAGUACAGCUCAAUCAAUGUCAGCACCUUUAUAUGUAUGUUGCUUAUUAUCUAUAUAUAUAAAAGAGUGAUGGCAUCACGGCGACUCACAAAACAACAAAAGUACAGGCCCCCCAACCUCAAAAUUUGACAACACAACCCAUCAUCCACGCCUCAAGGUUGAUACAACAAAAAGAAAAGAAAAAUAAAGUCCUAAUUAGAGGGAGAGCAAUAAUUUUUUUUAUCCAAUUGCUGCCAGUUUAGAGGUCUAAUCUCUGCCCACUUGGUUGCCUAGCAACCAAGGGACAGCCAGCGUUCAGUUAGGGGACAGGCAGAUUUAGGCCUCACUUAGACUUCUUCCACAGAUUAUCUAAUUUGCACUGGAUUAUAUGGCAGUAAUUACUGUAUUUACGAAUUUAGCACCAAAAUAUCACGAUGUAUUGAAAACAUUAACUACAAAAAUGCGUUGGAUAAUCCAGAAUGUUGGAUAAGCGAGUGUUGGAUAAGUGAGACUCUAAUACUAAUACAGUAGAGUCUUACUUAUCCAAGCUUCGCUUAUCCAAGCCUCUGGAUUAUCCAAGCCAUUUUUGUAGUCAAUGUUUUCAAUAUAUCGUGAUAUUUUGGUGCUAAAUUUCGUAAAUACAGUAAGUACAACAUAACAUUACUGCAUAUUGAACUACUUUUUCUGUCAAUUUGUUGUAUAACAUGAUGUUUUGGUGCUUAAUUUGUAAAAUCAUAACAUAAUUUGAUGGUUUAAUAGGCUUUUCU